Molecule: ribosomal RNA, 290 nt
Filed under: Chaetoceros brevis
Lineage: Eukaryota; Bacillariophyta; Thalassiosirophyceae; Chaetocerotales; Chaetocerotaceae
Description: partial Bacterial large subunit ribosomal RNA
Rfam family: Bacterial large subunit ribosomal RNA
Source: RNAcentral
GAAACGCGUAGUCGAUGGGAAACGGAUUAAUAUUUCCGUACUUGUUAUAUCAGUGAAGGGGGGACGGAGAAGGUUAUGCUAGCUUGGCGUUGGUAGUCCAAGUGAAAGUGCGUAGGGUUAGUAUUUAGGAAAAUCCGGAUACUACAUUUAAAAGAUGAGCCUGAGACACGAGACGAGACUCUACGGAGUUGAAGUAGCAAAUACCCUGCUUCCAGGAAAAGCCUCUAAACUUAUGAUAUAGCGAACCGUACCCCAAACCGACACAGCUGGUUAGGUAGAGAAUACUAAGG